GUACUGCUGAAGAGUCUCAAACUAGGACGAAAUAGCUGUCCAGUAC
This 46-nucleotide non-coding RNA is filed under the name Trichobilharzia regenti. Lineage: Eukaryota; Metazoa; Platyhelminthes; Trematoda; Strigeidida; Schistosomatidae. The record is from RNAcentral.